RNA transcript from Microplitis mediator, 5751 nucleotides. It is a transcript of the gene named speckle-type POZ protein B-like, with no coding region annotated. The record is from RefSeq and is a predicted model, not a curated record. NCBI's taxonomy places the organism in Eukaryota, Metazoa, Arthropoda, Insecta, Hymenoptera, Braconidae. The transcript has 5 exons.
CAGUGCUUUUGAAUUACGUAAUACGUACUACGCGUUUGCCGGCAAGACUCCAUUAAAAUUGUCAAGCCAUAAUAAAUAAUAUAUAAAGAAUAACGCAUUCAUUUGUAUGUGUGAGCUAUACUAAAAUACGUUAAUAGUCCUGUUAUAUUGUGCAUUUUGUAUAAUAAUACGUUUUAUGUCAUAGACUUGAGCAAAGAAUUGAAAUUCUUAAUUUGUGUUAAAAUAAUUUGAUGCAAUGGAAGAUUAUCAACUUGUAAGAAUUAAUUCUACGAUUGAAGAACGGAAAAUCAUUUAUGAGUGGAAAAUACAACAGUUUUUUUCAUUAACACGAUUUGCCGCAUUCUGCGAUGAAUGCAAUACAAUCCAAUCACCAGUUUUUUCAACUAAUGAACCUGGUAAUAGUUCAUGGUAUUUAAAAAUAUCCCUUGAUCACGGGACGUGUGACGAAUUGUUAUCAAUAACUUUAGGAUAUUGUGGUGGUGGUCAUCAAAAAAUGAAAACCAAAUAUUCAAUAUGUAUUAUUGAUGAUGAAAAAAACAAACGAUUCCUACAAAAGGGAUCUAAAUUUUUUAACAAUAAUGAAACAAUUAUUAUAAAGUCUUUUCCUGUGGGUGAACUAUUGAACGAACGAAGUAAAUUAAUACCUGAUAAUACAUUAACGGUAUCCCUUAAAAUUUCUGAUUUUAUUGUACGUUCUGACACUAGUCUACCCAUCACUAAACUUCGAUUAAAAAAAUCGAAGCAAAUUGUCGGGGAUUGGGAAGCUCUUUUUCAUAGUAAAAAAGGCAGUAAUGUUGUUCUAGUUGUUGAUGAUAAGAAAAUUCCAGCUCACGAAGCUUUGCUGGAGAGUCGAAGCCUUGUAUUUUCUGCAAUGUUUACACAUCAGCUGAAUGAAAACAGAGAAGUUACCAUUCCUGAUAUGGAUCCUGAUACGUGUGAAAAAUUAUUAGAAUUUAUUUAUACGGACACUGUGACUGACCUUGAUGAAGUUGCUGAACGUUUGUUUGUAGCGGCAAAUAAUUAUCAGAUACCAGCUCUUAAAAAGUUAUGCGGAGAAUCACUUUGUAAAAACUUAACUGUUAAAAAUGCCGUUCAAUAUCUUGUUUUACUUGACCGUCAUAAUGCUGAUCAAGAAUUUUUGAAUUGUGUAGCAGAUUUCAUUGCUAACAAUUCACAGAUAAUUAUCGAAACUGAAGAAUAUAAAGCAUUACUCAACACUAAUCCACCAUUAUUGUUGACUGUAUUAACAAAAAUUUGCAAUAUUAAAUAAAAAAAAACAGAUCAAUAUCUUGGUAGUUCAAUACCGCAACAUAAACGAUAUCUUAAAAUAUAUUAUUUUCAGUUAUAAUUCAUAAUUGUCACCUUAAUUUGAAUCUUAUUUUUUUAUAAUUACCCUCAUUCUAAUAAUACAAUUUACAAUUAUGCUAUCAAUUAUACUGAUACGUUUAUUAACAUCUGCUAGUUCAUGCUCUUAAAAACGUAUAUUCUAUAAAAAGAAAAAAAUUAUUAUUUUGUAUUCUUAAUGUUUCAAUAAAUGCUCAAACAUAAAAAAUAAAUCAUAACUACGGAUAAAUUUGAAUAAAGAACGAGUUCCUUAAUAUCUUUAUUUUUGCUUAUGAUGGAUGUGAAAGAAAACAAUAACUGAACCCCGUGUUUCAUAAAUAUCAAUUGAUUUACAUGCGUUAGCAUAAAUAGAUUCAAAUUUUAUUGUUUACAAACACUCAAUAAAGUAUGAAGUUUCAUCAAGUUGAUUUUAAUAAUAUAAUUUAUAAUAAUUAUCAUAUUAAUUAUAUAUCAUUGCACUUAAUAAUAUCUCUGCUAAUUAAUGUUCGUCAAAGUAUAUUUUAUAAAACCAACAAAAAAUGAUUAUUUUGUAUUCUUAAUUUUUCAAUAAAUACUCAUACUUAAAAAAUAAAUCAUAACUACAAAUAAAUUUAAAUAAAGAACAAGUUCCUUAAUAUUUUCAUUUUUGCUUAUGAUGGUUGUGAAGAAAAAAAACAAAAACUCAUCCACGUGUUACAUAAAUAUCAAAUGAUUUACAUGAGUUAGCAUAAAUAAAUUCAAAUUUUAUUGUUUACAAACACUCAAUCAAGUAUGAAGUUUCAUCAAAUUGAUGACCAAAAAUAAAUAAAAAAAAAAUAUUAAAACAAAAUUGCACCUAUAUAGUUUUUUUAACUUCUGCACGUGCAUAUUUUUAAUUUUUAUUUUUUCAUAAUUGAUUUGUUGAAAGAAAAAUCCGGAAGUUGUUAAUUAUCUGUUGAUUCCCUUAUCAUAUAAUCAGUACGCGCAUUUUUUUAAUUUCAUUAUUUGAAUUAAUCAAUUUAAUUAUCAAAGAUUUAUGUAUUUUCUCAUAUCUUUUACAUUCCCAAUUAUCAUUAAUCAUGAUUUUGGAAAAACAAUUCCUUAUUUAUUAGCAUUUUAUUUUUUAAUGUUUAUAUCUUACUUUUGAGUUACGUAGUAUGAAUUUUCCGGCAAGUCGCCAUCAAUAAAACUAUCAAAGUCAUAGAUAUCGAGCUAGAAGAAGCAUUCUUUCAUUUCUUCUUGUGACAAUCAGUGAUACGUCUACAGUCAUUGUUAUACUUUCACGCAUUGCAUUCUAAAACGUUUAGUAUUGUCUAUUUAAGUGAAGAAUUGAAUUUUUUUUUAUUUUUAUUCAAAUAAUUUGACGAAAUGGAAGAUUUACAAGUUGUACAAACCUAUUCUAUGCCUGAAGAACGGAAAAUUAUAUAUGAAUGGAAAGUAGAUCAUUUUUUUUCAAUUAUGCGAUUUGCAUUAAGCAACAAAGAGGAAAGUACAAUCCAAUCACCAGUUUUUUCAACUAUUAAUAAUUCCGUCGAUAGUUCGUGGUAUUUAACAAUGAAAUUAUCGCAUGUACCUCACCAGGGCGAAUAUUUUGCAAUGGCUUUGACAUAUUGUGGUGGACAUCAAACAUUAAGAGCCAGAUAUUCGAUAAGUUUUAUUGAUGAUGAUGGAAACAAACAAUUGGAGCAAAUAGGAACUAAAAUUUUCAAAAACAGUGUCGGACAUAUUAUUCGGCAGCCUCGUUCAGUAAGUGAAAUGCUUAAAGAAGCACGUAAAAUAGUACCUGAUGAAACAUUUACUGUACACCUUGAACUUACUGAAUUUAUCGUACGUUCUUACGCAAGUCCACCCAUCACUAAACUUCGAUUUAAAAGAUCGAAACAAAUUGUCGACGAUUUGCCAGCUAUUUUUCAUAGUAAAGAAGGCAGUGAUAUUGUUCUAGUUGUUGGUGAUAAGAGAAUUCCAGCUCACAAGACUUUACUAAUGAAUCGAAAUACUGUAUUUCGUUCAAUAUUGACACAUCACUCGAGAAACACCAGAAGUAGUGUAGUAAAUAUCCCUGAUAUGGAUCCUGAUAUCCUUGAAAAAUUAUUAGAAUUUAUUUACACGAACAAUGUGACUAAUCUUGAUGAAGUUGCUGAACGUUUAUAUGAAGUAGCAGAUAAAUAUCAGAUACCAGCUCUAAAAAAGUUAUGCGAAGAAUCACUUUGUAAAACCAUAUCUGUUGGAAAUGCCGUUCAAUAUCUUGUUUUACUUAACCGUUAUAACGCUGACGGAGUAUUUUUGAAUUAUAUAGCAGAUUUCAUUGCAAUUAAUUCAAAAAUAAUUACCCAAACUGAAGAAUAUAAAGCAUUACUCAACACUAAUCCAUCAUUAUUGUUGGCUGUAUUAACAAAAAUAUACAGUAGCAAAUAAAAAAAUCAACAUCUUGGCAAUUCAAUACUGCAGCAUAACCCGGAUAUUUUUAAAUUUAUUAUUAUCAGUUUUAAUCCUUAACUUUGGACUUGAUGUAAAUCUUUCUACUUUUUUUUAUAAUUACUUUCAUUUUAAUAAUAUAAUUUACAAUAGUUAUUAUAUCAAUUAUAUAAAUGGACUCAAUAUUUCUGCUAAUUUGUGUUUGUCAAAGUAUAUUUUGUAAAACAAAACAAAUUAUUAUUUUGUAUUCUUAAUCUUUUAAUAAAUAGACAAACAUCAAAAAUAAGUUAUUACUCUGAAUUAAUUUUAGUUAAAGACAAAUUCAAAUUUUAUUGUAGAUGAUAUUCACUAAAGGAUAUAUAGUCUUAUCAAAUUGAUAACCAUCUAGCCUAAUAUAAUGUAUACAAAGUAUCUGAUGUCAUAACAGUAAGAAGUGAUAGAGCUAAAGCAGCUAUUUGCUAUAAACCGAUUGUUGAGUCAUAAUUAUACACGUAGUCAUAAAUAUGGAAGUAAAUUUCUAAGAAAAAUUCCAAGUACUCGUUUGUAUUUGCCGCUAUUAUAUUGAAUGACAUCAUCACCUAGAAAGCCGUUGAUGAGCUCACAAUAUACAAAAGAAUCACCUGACAAUUUUUUUCAUCUACAAGCUGGAACAUUACAAAGUUUUUCGCAUUUAAAUAUUUAUAAUUAUACUUUACAUUAUUGUCAUACUUAAAAUAUAAACCAGUGAUAAAAUUAAUAAAAAUAUUAAUUUACAAUAAAAUAGAAUAAAAUUAAUUGUUGAAGUCUUUGAAAAAUGGAAGUCGCAGGUUAUUCAAAAGUUAAAAAGUACGAGGUUACAUUCAAGUGGGAAAUAGAUUGUCUGCUUCAGUUCAUCGAAUCUGCUGACUAUGAUAAAGUUGAUAAAACUCUUGAAUCUCCACAAUUUUCAACCGGAGCUAGUUUCAAAGACACCUGGUUCGUAGAUUUGAGAGUUGACUCCAGUAAACUUUCGAAAAUAAAAGGAUGGCUGUCAUUUAAUUUGAACUUGAUCAGUUGUGAAUUGCCUGAAGUGAGAGCAGAGUUUGUGGUGUCAAUUUUAAAUAAUGAAAACGAGCAAAUUUUUAUCCAACCGUCAUGUAGCAGAAACUUUAAAGAUCAUCAAGAUUGGGGGAUCGCGCACUUUAUUAAAAUAAACGAAUUAUUUGAAUACAAAGAUGGUUAUUUUUCAAACAAUUCUACUUUGACCCUGUGUGUAGAACUUGCAGUUCAUGAUAACUAUGUACGCAUUACAAAUAAAAUUCCAUCAACAACUUGCGAGCAUUCGAUUACUGAUGAUUUAAAAAAACUAUUUGACAGUAAAAUUGGUAGCGAUAUUAUUUUAGUUGCGGGUAAUAAACAAAUUAGAGCUCACAAGGCUUUCCUGAUGAUAAGAAGUCCAGUCUUCUGUGCGAUGUUUACACACAAGUUGCAAGAAAACAAGGAAAGUAAAGUUACGAUCCCUGAUGUUGAACCAGAAACAUUAGAGAAAAUGCUGGAAUUUAUUUAUACAGAUCGAGUUACGGAUCUUGAGCAGAUUGCUCUGCAUUUAUUUGAAGCAGCUGAUAAGUAUCAGUUACAGAAACUCAAAGAAUUGUGCGAAGAAUCUUUGAGUCAGUCAAUAACUGUUGAUAACGCAAUCAAGUAUCUCGUAUUAGCAGAUCUUCAAAGUACAAAAGAGUUUUAUCAAUAUGUCCUUCGUUUUGUAGCAAUUAAUGCAUCAAAGAUAAUAAAAACCGAAGAUUAUAAAGCAUUGGAGAAAGAUGAUCCAGCUUUGUUGUCAAUUAUAUUAGCAAAAAUGUGCAGCAUUUAAAAAAAAGGUCAAUGUAUGAAUACUGUAGCAUAUGAAGUUUGAAUUUUUACAUAUAUAUCAGUUAUGAUAAUUUAUUAUUAAUGAAAAUUAAGUUGAGUCUUUAUUUUAUUGUUGAAAAUUUUUAUUUAAAGAAAAUAAUUAAUAAUAUCGUUGUUACUGUUAAAGUAAACUGUGAUUUUAAUUUAUUUAUAUUUAAGUAUCAAUGU